Pseudopipra pipra is the source of this 4703-nucleotide long non-coding RNA. RefSeq lists it as uncharacterized. The transcript is spliced from 2 exons. Lineage: Eukaryota; Metazoa; Chordata; Aves; Passeriformes; Pipridae. The record is from RefSeq and is a predicted model, not a curated record.
GUUCAAAUAUGGUCAGAUAAAUUAGUUUGUUAACUGAAAGAUAAAUUUAAGACAUAUAAAUUCCUGUUCUUUAAUUAAGCUUGUAAUUCUAAACCACUGUUUAAAAUACAAGUAGUAUUCUAGGAGUUCCUGAAUGCUUGCAUAGUGGAAGUAAAGCUGAAGGCUUGUGUUUUGUUGUAACAUUAAGUAUCCUUUAAAAGGUAGGUCAGUAUAUCAUUAGCAUUUAUUAUGUUAUACUUUAAAAUUAGUUUUCUCAAAAUUAGUUUUCUCAAACAAGUGAAGAUAGCUGUCAGGCACUAGGCAUAUUAUUCUGUGGAAGAGAACUGAACUAACUGAACUGAACUGUGAAAUGUGCAUUUGACGCUGAAGUUGGAUAAUUUUAUGCACACAUUUUUUAAAUACAUCCAUUUGUAGGUUACCCCACAAAAUACUGUGAAUAUGUCUAUGUAGAAAUACUAAGAACACACAAUGCUAGCGUGCCCUAUUACUUAAUUUACAGAUGUUUUAUUUUAAUGAAAUAGUGGGCUACAAACUUAACCAUCUUUGUGUUAAUAAGAAAAUGGUUUUGUUUAUGUUAAACAAUUGUACUCUUCAGUCAGUUAAAACAAACCAACAAGCUAAUAACAUUGUUAGGUAGGUCUCUCCUAAAUCUGAAGAAGUUUCUGUUUAUCUUCUGCCAUGACUGAAGAAAGUUCUAGCAUGAGCAAUUACCAAGGCUGAGUAUUUGUGCAGUACUGCAGUCCUAAUAGAAAGCAGAGAUGUCUGGAGUAAUCAGAAAAAAAGUGUGUGGGCCUGACUCUGGUCAAAUGAUAUAAAAAAAAUAUUACAGAUGAGGCAAAUUAAAGGUGUUCUAAGAUCGCACAGAUGAGCAACCUUUCCAAUGGUUCUCAAAGAGGGCAGUCUUGUGAGCAACCCAGUGUCUAAAUCCCCCAGAACUGAAGGGAGGCAUAGAUUGACUCUUCUUCUGAGGAGCCCUGUUCUUCCCCUCUCCCGAACUAACUCAAGAGAAAAAGUACCAGGCUUUUAAAUGCACUGUCUUGUUAGGGUGGCCUGUCGUGCACUCAUGUAAGGGUGGGAUGGAGAUCGAACUGAGUGACCCUGUGCAAGGCAGAGGGAAGGGAGGGCAGGAGGCGAAGCCCUCUGCCAUGUUUCUCUUCAGGUGGCAAAAAAAAAUUCAAACUGGUUUGGCUGUUCCUGAAGCCGCAGCGUUGGGGUUACAGGCAGGCCUCUUUUUUCUAAGAGAUGCUUUCAUUUUGUGUGCAAAAGGGGCAACUCAUCAUUUUGAUCAAAGGAGGUCAGUGAAUACAGGAGACUAUAAAAUGUAUGAGAGUUUUAGGAACAGAUUUCAGGCUUGGCUGCCUGUAAGGCCAUGACAUGAAUGAUAUCACAGAACUGGCCUUGCUCUGCUUCAGAUCAAAGCUUUGCAAUCUUCUCCCCAUUUUACUUCUACUUCCAGAUAAUUGUGGACAAGCACAGCAGGGCACUGUCUGUCUGACACAUCUAAAUAAAUUCUUAAUGCGGAAAUUCCUGUUCAAAGCAUUGCCCCAUUACCCUCCUCAGUGGUUGUGUUUUGUAGAUGGAAGGAAGCCAUUUUGUUUUCACAACUUCUGUUGUUACUGUUUGAUUCUCCCCUGGGUAUCUCUUUUUCCAGGAUUACAGUAGCAGUAUGUUAGUUUUGGAAAGAGUAAAAUAAACUGGUCUGUUCCUGGAAAUCAAAGUAAUGCUUUAUGCAAUGAAGAGAGACAUGGUGCUGUGGCCCCUGUACGUAGUACUCUGGAUUGAGGAGUGACUGGGAGACGUGGCACUGGCCAUGCUGAGUGUUUCCAGGUACAAGGCUAUGCCCAAAAAAACAUAAAUGGAAGACACAGUUGUCAGCAGUGAGGAUUUAAGUGAUAUCACAGAAACAAAGCCUAGCUGCUCCUGAUACCUAUCGAAGUAUUUGCUGUCUUUCAGAGGCAGAUUGGUUGAGUUACAGUGGUUGAGUUACUUAUCUGGUGGCUCUGGAUGUCUCCUUUCUAUGUCCUCAUCUGCUGUGAGGAUCAUGCACUUCCAUACCUUUUUGCAGUAAAGAGCAAUUUCUGUUUGAAGGAAUCUUCCUGAUUUGGCUGAGGCAAAGGGCAUUUGAGGGUCUUCUCCAUUUACGUGCUGCUCCCUCAGGUGUCGCACUGCUCCUGCCUGCAUGAAUAGCCAGCAUGUGCUGAUGUUACCAGUAUAUCAAAUAUCUGAGGGAGCACAGGAGAAUGAGAAAAGCAGAGGUGAAAAGAGCAGAUGAAGGAGAGGAAUGCUCCGUUACAGUGUACUGUAUAUCCACACUGGAACACUCUGCUCUGUUUCCUGGAGAAGCAGACUCUUCCUGACUCUGAUCUGCUUCCUGGAAGCAGAAGUCCCAUUCUAAUGGAUUUCUGGACCUUGAUGUAAGGAAAAAAAAGAAAGAAAACUUUAAUGUUUACCAGAAAUUUUAUUUUCUUUACAGGAUCAACUAAGUCAGCUUAGCUAAUCUUGCUAAGAAAUGGAAAUUGACACUUUAGAGUUUGAAUUGCUACUACAUAGAAUAUAGCCUAUUUUGCAGAAUGAGAAAUUAAUUGAUAUGUGUUUAAAAUAAUCUAUUAUUUAGGAAAGCACUACUUACUGGAAAACACAAGGGUAAUGUAGUAUAACAACUUCAGAAAAAGUGGUGAUAUACAAGGAAAAUGACCAACCAUAUUAACAGAUCUGGAUGCAAGUGAAAAGCAUGUAUUUCAGACUUAAUUUUCCUUUGUGGCAGGUUUAACUCUUCUUACGUUGCUUAAUGGUGAGGAAUUCAAUUCGAUGUUACCUUUUGACUUUUCCAGCUGCACUCUUACUCUUGCUUAAUUUGUGUUCUUCGUGGCUUCAGGCUAUUCCAAGCUUCAAUACACAUGAGAAAACAAACAACCCCUGCCAUCCAAAAACUAACCUAGAACAAAGCCCCUCUAAAAGAGUUUUCCUUGCCUUUUUUUCCCCUGCUGUGACAUACAUAAUAUAUCUUGAUAUUUAAGAUAUCUUUAUUUAAGUUUUAUGUACUGUUUCUAUCCAGUAAACUUUAAAGGACUAAGAGUUGAUGCAUGCUUAAUUGCCCUUGCCAGUUAGGUGAGACUGAACUGCAUCUUUGUGAAAAGUUAUAAGAAAAAGAGUUUGCUUUAUAGUUUAAAAAAGGGUAUUGAUUUUGGUAAGGAGAACUUUACAUCCAGUGCCUGUAAAAUUUCCAGAAAUAUUUGAAAGACACAGCUAAAUUUUGAAAUGAAACUUUGGAAUUCAAGUGUAGUAUUCACAGUAGGACAUAGGCACUAUUCUGUUGUUUAAAAUGAGCCAUUUGUUUACUUCUGGAAAAUGUAAGAACUGUAAAGGAGCCAGUGUUGCAAAUUUGCUGUAAUCAAAACCCAAUGAGACUCAUUGGGAAAAAAACUCACCAUAUACUAGUGGAACAGAAGUUUAACAGAUGGGGCUAGGAAGAUUAUUUUUAGACAUGUAAAUUCAUUGAGUGUUAUCAGUAACACUUUCUCUUACUCGAACUGCAACCAAUGGUUUGUCAGUUUUUUCUGCCUCGCCCCUCAAAGGUUAGAUUAGUGUUUUACUAAUGAUUCCUUUUCUGUCUAUAACUUUUGUUUUCAAGAUCUACAGAUAUGAAAUAAAUAAUUAAAAAAAUCAAAGUGGAUUUUUUUCUACAGUAGAAAAGCAAUGCAAUAUGCUGUUAAACAGAUCCAUGGUGAAGAUAAUUGAAAGCUGUUGAGCAAAGCUCUAGAAAAUCAUUAUACAAAUACAAUCACAGUCUUUUUCAAGCUUUAUGGAUAACCUACUUUUAAAAUGGGCCCCAAGAGUAGAAAAAAUUCAGAUUAAAGAAUAGCGUACUUCUAUGUCUUUGGUUCUGUCUUCUGAAAUCUGAUUUUCCCAAAGCUCUGUAGAGAUUUCAAGGAGUAUACUGACUGUAUUUUGGUUGCUAUAAAAAAAAGCCCAAGGAAUUUGAAAAUACAGAAACAAGAAAGCGGCAAUUGAUCCUGGUGUUACACAGGAACAUCUGUCUGGAGUUUCAAAGGCAGCUGGCUAUCAGCUACGGCAGAUUUUCUGGCUGGCUGUGCAAGGACUGUAUGAGCUUGUUGUGUCUAUAUUAAAACUGCUAUUGUUCUCCUGCUGUGAAAUGACAGAUGGACAUGUCUAUCCUGAGAGAUCUGCGACUUUUGGCUGACUUGUAGUUUCGGAAUCCAUUCAUAAUACAGCUUGCCCUAGUCCUUCAAGAGGGAAGAAGAACAUAAAUAGAAAAAAAAAUGAAAUUUAUGGUGCCAGGCUAUAUUGCGAAAUCAUCAAAAGUAAAUUCCUUUCUUCUUUUUGAAGGCAAAUGGGUUGUUCUUCUGAAUGGGAGCUAUCAGGUUUUAGUUUAUUUUUCUAGGGAUAUAACAUAUAUACAUAUAUAUGUAGUGGAUAUUUUUCUUUGCCUUAGAUAAAACAAGUUAGUGUAGUAACAUAGAAAACCAGUACAAAGACAUGGAAUCCUGAAAAGUAUGGAGAUAAAUGAGACUGAAUUGAUUGAGAUGUUGGGAGGGGAAGGUAUCCAAUUCAGAAAGACAUGAUGUGAAUUAAUAUGUCAUUAGAAACAUGUUAAUUAGUUUUUUAAUUAUGUGAGCAUGUCUUAAUGUGUAGCAUAAAUAUAUGUUAAUUGGGUAAUAAAUAUAUUUUAUGUUUUUAUUUCA